Callithrix jacchus (white-tufted-ear marmoset) is the source of this 104-nucleotide small nucleolar RNA. NCBI's taxonomy places the organism in Eukaryota, Metazoa, Chordata, Mammalia, Primates, Cebidae. The record is from Ensembl.
AUCCUUUUGUAGUUUAUGAGCAUGAUGACUGGGUGUUCAUAGGCAUGUGUGAGAUAUGCCACCCUCAAACCUUGUUAUGAUGUUGGCACAUUGUCAGUCUGACA